UUAGCAGGAGGAAAAUACUUAGAGAUAAAAGCAUCUUUGCACUUAUUCCAAGAAUCAAUACUAUUUUUAGGCAAAGACGAAAACCAAGCUUUAGCACGAUCUCUAAGCGAAAAAGGAAAUAGCUUCAAUUUAACAAUAUCAUUGUCAACAUCUUUCUUCUUUUGCAUAUCACACAAAUCAACGAAGCUAUUUAGAUGAGUAGCGGCAUCUUCACUAGGAAGGCCGGCGAAUUUAUCUUUCAUGACAAGAUUCCAACAACACCCACACACUUGUCUGACACACUGACCCUCAUAAUAGUUAUUCUGAACUCAUUCUGCAAAUACUGGAAAACGGGGAAGGGAUUAAUAAAAGGCCAAACCAACUGUGCAUGCGGCGAUCAUAAAUAGCAAUGUCACUCAGAGCACGAAACCAUGGGGACUUCAGUGCUCGGCGGGUGGGUGGUAGACUGGAUCACUGGAGUCAGUGGUGUCCGUGGUAUCCACCGCCACCGCCGCCGCCGUAAGUGGGCAUGGGAGGGACGGGGUGGUAGUCUGGGUGGGGCUGCGGCUUCGGCUCCGGCUUGGGCACGGGGUGGUAGUCCGGGUGAGGCUGGGGCUUGGGCUCCGGCUUCGGUGGCACCGGCUUCUUGUGGUGGAAGUGCUCGAUGAUGUGCUGCUUGAUCGGCCCGCACAGGGUCAUGGACGCACACUCGGGCGACCCCACGGAUGGCGUGGCGGUGUUGGCGCCGGCGAUGACACCGAAGGUGGUGCCCUCGGACACCGGCACGAUCUNNNNNNNNNNAUUACAACUCGAUACUAGAACAAAGUAUGACUCUAUAUGAAUGCCUCCGGCGGUGUACUGGGAUAUGCAAUGAACCAAGAGUGACAUGUAUGAAAGAAUUAUGAACAGUGGCUUUGCCACAAAUACUAUGUCAACUACAUGAUCAUGCAAAGCAAUAUGACAAUGAUGAGCGUGUCGUGAUAAACGGAACGGUGGAAAGUUGCAUGGCAAUAUAUCUCGAAAUGGCUAUGGAGAUGCCAUAAUAGGUAGGUAUGGUGGCUGUUUUGAGGAAGAUAUAAGGAGGUUUAUGUGUGAAAGAGCGUAUCAUAUCACGGGGUUUGGAUGCACCGGCGAAGUUUGCACCAACUCUCAAUGUGAGAAAGGGCAAUGCACGGUACCGAAGAGGCUAGCAAUGAUGGAAAGGUGAGAGUGCGUAUAAUCCAUGGACACAACAUUAGUCAUAAAGAACUCACAUACUUAUUGCAAAAAUCUACAAGUCAUCAAAAACCAAGCACUACGUGCAUGCUCCUAGGGGGUUAGAUUGGUAGGAAAAGACCAUCGCUCGUCCCCGACCGCCACUCAUAAGGAGGACAAUGAAAGAACACCUCAUGUUUCAAAUUUGUUACAUAACGUUUACCAUACGUGCAUGCUACGGGACUUGCAAACUUCAACACAAGUAUUUCUCAAAUUCACAACUACUCAACUAGCACAACUUUAAUAUCACUACCUCCAUGUCUCAAAACAAUCAUCAAGCAUCAAACUUCUCUUAGUAUUCAAAACACUCAUAAGAAAGUUUUUACUAUUCUUGAAUACCUAGCAUAUUAGGAUUAUUUAAGCAAAUUACCAUGCUAUUUGAGACUCUCAAAAUAAUCUAAGUGAAGCAUGAGAGAAUAAUAGUUUCUAUAAAACAAAUCCACCACCGUGCUCUAAAAGAUAUAAGUGAAGUACUAGAGCAAAAACUAUAUAACUCAAAAGAUAUAAGUGAAGCAUAUAGAGUAUUCUAAUAAUUUCCGAAUCAUGUGUGUCUCUCUCAAAAGUUGUGUACAGCAAAGAUGAUUGUGGUAAACUAAAAAGCAAAGACUCAAAUCAUACAAGACGCUCCAAGCAAAACACAUAUCAUGUGGUGAAUAAAAAUAUAGCUCCAAGUAAAGUUACCGAUGGAAGUAGACGAAAGAGGGGAUGCCUUCCGGGGCAUCCCCAAGCUUUGGCUUUUAGGUGUCCUUAGAUUAUCUUGGGGGUGCCAUGGUCAUCCCCAAGCUUAGGCUCUUGCCACUCCUUGUUCCACAAUCCAUCAAAUCUUUCACCCAAAACUUGAAAACUUCACAACACAAAACUCAGCAGAAAAUCUCGUGAGCUCCGUUAGCGAAAGAAAACAAAAGACCACUUCAAGGUACCGUAAUGAACUCAUUCUUUAUUUAUAUUGGUGGUAAACCUACUGUAUGCCAACUUCUCUAUGGUUUAUAAACUAUUUUACUAGCCAUAGAUUCAUCAAAAUAGGCCAACAACACACGAAAAACAGAAUCUGUAAAAAACAGAACAGUCUGUAGUAAUCUGUAAGUAACGCAAACUUCUGGAACUCGAAAUAAUCAGAAAAAUAGGAAGUCCUAGACAAUUUGUUUAUUGAUCAGUAGCAAUUGGAAUCAAUAUUUUAUCACGUUCUGGUCAUUUUUAACAAUUAUUUUCGUGAACAGAAAAUUUCUGGAAUUUUCUGCAAGAUCAAAUAACUAUCAUCCAAGAAGAUCCUAUAGGUUUAACUUGGCACAAACACUAAUUAAAACAUAAAAACACAACUAACCACAGGCUCAAACAAAUAUUUAUUCCUAAGCAGAAGCAAAAAGAAAAAAAAUAAAAAUAAAAUUGGGUUGCCUCCCAACAAGCGCUAUCGUUUAACGCCCCUAGCUAGGCAUAUAAGCAAGGAUAGAUCUAGGUAUUGCCAUCUUUGGUAGGAAAUCCAUAAGUGGCUCUCAUGAUGGAUUCAUAUGGUAAUUUUAUUUUCUUUCUAGGGAAGUGUUCCAUGCCUUUCUUUAAUGGAAAUUGGAAUCUAAUAUUCCCUUCCUUCAUAUCAAUAAUUGCACCAAUCGUUCUAAGUAAAGGUCUACCAAGAAUAAUAGGACAUGAAGGAUUGCAAUCUAUAUCAAGAACAAUAAAUUCUACGGGCACAUAGUUCCUAUUUGCAACAAUAAGAACAUCAUUAAUUCUUCCCAUAGGUUUCUUAAUAGUGGAAUCCGCAAGGUGCAAGUUUAAAGAGCAAUCAUCAAAAUCACGGAAACCUAGCAAAUCACACAAAGUUUUUGGAAUCGUGGAAACACUAGCACCCAAAUCACACAAAGCAUAGCAUUCAUGAUCUUUAAUUUUAAUUUUAAUAGUAGGUUCCCACUCAUCAUAGAGUUUUCUAGGAAUAGAAACUCCCAACUCAAGUUUUUCUUCAUAAGAUUGCAUCAAAGCAUCAACGAUAUAUAUAUGUUUGGUAAAGGCUUUAUUUUGACUAUAAGCAUGAGGAGAAUUUAGCACGGAUUACAACAAGGAAAUACAAUCUAUCAAAGAGCAAUUAUCAUAAUUAAAUUUCUUGAAAUACAAAAUAGUGGGUUCAUUAAUAUCUAAUGUUUUGAUCUCUUCAAUCCCACUUUUAUCAAUUUUAGCAUCAAGAUCUAAAAACUCCGAAUUUCUUGAACGCCUUCUAGGUAAAGGUGGAUCAUAUUCAGUCCCAUCAUUAGCAAGAUUCAUAUUGCACAACAAAGAUUUAAUAGGGGACACAUCAAUAACCUUUAGAUCUUCAUCUUUAUUUUCAUAGAAACUAGAAGAACACGCUUUCAUAAAGCAAUCUUUCUUAGCACGCAUCCUAGCGGUUCUUUCUUUGCACUCAUCAAUGGAAAUUCUCAUGGCUUUGAGAGACUCAUUGAUAUCAUGCUUAGGAGGAAUAGAUCUUAGUUUUAAAGAAUCAACAUCAAGAGAAAUUCUAUCAACGUUCCUAGCCAAUUCAUCAACUUUAAGCAAUUUCUUUUCAAGGAAAGCAUUGAAAUUCUUUUGUGAAUUCAUAAAUUCCUUAACACUAGUCUCAAAUUCAGUGGGCAUCUUAUUAAAAUUUCCAUAAGAAUUAUUGUAGGAAUUACCAUAAUUAUUAGAGAAAUUACUAGGAUAAGGCCUAGGAUUAAAGUUUCCUCUAUACGCGUUGUUACCAAAAUUAUUCCUACCAACAAAAUUUGCAUCCAAAGAUUCAUUAUUAUUCUCAAUAAAAGUAGACAAAGGCAUAUCAUUAGGAUCAGAAGAAACACUAUUAGUAGCAAAUAAUUUCAUAAGUUCAUCCAUCUUUCCACUCAAAACAUUAAUUUCUUUUAUCGCAUGCACUUUUUUAUUAGUAGAUCUUUCAGUGUGCCAUUGAGAAUAAUUAACCAUAAUAUUAUUUAGGAGUUUAGUAGCUUCUCCUAAAGUGAUUUCCAUAAAAGUGCCUCUCGCGGCCGAAUCUAAAAGAUUUCUAGAAGCAAAAUUCAAUCCGGCAUAAAUUUUUUGUAUAAUCAUCCACAAAUUCAAACCAUGCGUGGGGCAAUUACGUAUCAUUAAUUUCAUCCUCUCCCAAGCUUGUGCAACAUGUUCAUGAUCGAGUUGCUUAAAAUUCAUAAUAUUGUUUCUAAGAGAGAUAAUCUUAGCAGGAGGAAAAUACUUAGAGAUAAAAGCAUCUUUGCACUUAUUUCAAGAAUCAAUACUAUUUUUAGGCAAAGACGAAAACCAAGCUUUAGCACGAUCUCUAAGCGAAAAAGGAAAUAGCUUCAAUUUAACAAUAUCAUUGUCAACAUCUUUCUUCUUUUGCAUAUCACACAAAUCAACGAAGCUAUUUAGAUGAGUAGCGGCAUCUUCACUAGGAAGGCCGGCGAAUUUAUCUUUCAUGACAAGAUUCCAACAACAGCCACACACUUGUCUGACACACUGACCCUCAUAAUAGUUAUUCUGAACUCAUUCUGCAAAUACUGGAAAACGGGGAAGGGAUUAAUAAAAGGCCAAACCAACUGUGCAUGCGGCGAUCAUAAAUAGCAAUGUCACUCAGAGCACGAAACCAUGGGGACUUCAGUGCUCGGCGGGUGGGUGGUAGACUGGAUCACUGGAGUCAGUGGUGUCCGUGGUAUCCACCGCCACCGCCGCCGCCGUAAGUGGGCAUGGGAGGGACGGGGUGGUAGUCUGGGUGGGGCUGCGGCUUCGGCUCCGGCUUGGGCACGGGGUGGUAGUCCGGGUGAGGCUGGGGCUUGGGCUCCGGCUUCGGUGGCACCGGCUUCUUGUGGUGGAAGUGCUCGAUGAUGUGCUGCUUGAUCGGCCCGCACAGGGUCAUGGACGCACACUCGGGCGACCCCACGGAUGGCGUGGCGGUGUUGGCGCCGGCGAUGACACCGAAGGUGGUGCCCUCGGACACCGGCACGAUCUUGGAUGGCUCCUGGCCGGGGCACGGCGCUAUGGAGCUGAGCCACGCAGUCGGCGCCAUGGAGGUCAGAAGCGAGGGGCACGCUGAAGGCGCCGAUGCCGUCGAGGGAACCCACCGCCUUGCUCUCGUACUCGCCAUCGACGUUCUUACACUUGAUCGCCACCUGUAGACAUGAGGUACGUUGACAGGAUGACAACCAUGAUCAGAUCUCCAUCUAUAUAGGUGUGUGCAUUGACAUAUAUAGUACGAUUGAGGUGCAUAUCUUACCCUUGAAGGCUUCCCCGGCCUUCAUGUUCUUCCUGGUGCAGUCGGCGCACUUGGCCAGGCCGAUGACCACCGACGUCGCCUCCGCGUUGGCGAUGGCAAUCACGAGCAGGACGGCGAGGACGAGCGCUCUCGGAGCUGCCAUGCCUGAACCUCUACCACUUGUUUGCU
Molecule: long non-coding RNA, 5602 nt
Filed under: Triticum aestivum (bread wheat)
Lineage: Eukaryota; Viridiplantae; Streptophyta; Magnoliopsida; Poales; Poaceae
Description: long non-coding RNA (TAES_LNC019263)
Source: RNAcentral